CAGUCGCCGCGGGAAUACGAAGGGGGCUAGCGUUGUUCGGAAUUACUGGGCGUAAAGCGCACGUAGGCGGACAUUUAAGUCAGGGGUGAAAUCCCGGGGCUCAACCCCGGAACUGCCUUUGAUACUGGGUGUCUAGAGUAUGGAAGAGGUGAGUGGAAUUCCGAGUGUAGAGGUGAAAUUCGUAGAUAUUCGGAGGAACACCAGUGGCGAAGGCGGCUCACUGGUCCAUUACUGACGCUGAGGUGCGAAAGCGUGGGGAGCAAACAGGAUUAGAUACCCCGGUAGUCCCUGUCUCUUAUAC
RNAcentral lists this ribosomal RNA (301 nucleotides) under uncultured bacterium. RNAcentral describes it as "partial 16S ribosomal RNA". It matches the Rfam family "Bacterial small subunit ribosomal RNA", at positions 509 to 807 of the family's 1533-position model. The record is from RNAcentral.